CAAUCGGUCCUUUUCAGGACCACAAAUUCAUAUUUUAAAGGAGAUG
Non-coding RNA from Drosophila ficusphila, 46 nucleotides. The record is from Rfam. Lineage: Eukaryota; Metazoa; Arthropoda; Insecta; Diptera; Drosophilidae.